This 253-nucleotide ribosomal RNA is filed under the name uncultured bacterium. RNAcentral describes it as "partial 16S ribosomal RNA". It matches the Rfam family "Bacterial small subunit ribosomal RNA", at positions 524 to 776 of the family's 1533-position model. The record is from RNAcentral.
UACGUAGGUGGCAAGCGUUGUCCGGAUUUACUGGGCGUAAAGAGCGCGCAGGCGGUCGGCCAAGUCGAGUGUGAAAGCCCCCGGCUCAACUGGGGAGGGUCAUUCGAUACUGGUCGACUCGAAGGCAGGAGAGGGAAGCGGAAUUCCCGGUGUAGUGGUGAAAUGCGUAGAUAUUCGGAAGAACACCAGUGGCGAAGGCGGCUCACUGGACCGGCAUUGACGCUGAUGUGCGAAAGCGUGGGGAGCAAACAGG